UGCCCAGCAACUCCUAUCCCUACCUCCUCGUGGUACCGACCGGAAACUAUGAGCAACCUUUGGAAAGAUCGGGUAACCAACCCCUGUAGGAACUGUGGUCGUAGGCUGACAGAGAAGG
This is a non-coding RNA of Aedes albopictus (Asian tiger mosquito), 118 nucleotides long. The record is from Rfam. NCBI's taxonomy places the organism in Eukaryota, Metazoa, Arthropoda, Insecta, Diptera, Culicidae.